UCCGUAGGUGAACCUGCGGAAGGAUCAUUACACUCAGUAGAUCUCUACUGCUCAGGGAGAGGGGAAAGUUUUCAGCAUGCUUCGGCGGCUGGUGACGAGUACGCUCUCUAUCUGAACCCUUGUCUUUUUGUGUACUCUUGUUUCCUCGGCGGGCCUGCCCGCCGGCUGGACAACUCUAUAACCUUUUUUAAUUCUCAAUCAGCGUCUGAAUAAAUAUAAUAAUUACAACUUUCAACAACGGAUCUCUUGGUUCUGGCAUCGAUGAAGAACGCAGCGAAAUGCGAUAAGUAGUGUGAAUUGCAGAAUUCAGUGAAUCAUCGAAUCUUUGAACGCACAUUGCGCCCCUUGGUAUUCCAUGGGGCAUGCUUGUUCGAGCGUCAUUUGUACUCUCAAGCUUUGCUUGGUGUUGGGUGUUUGUCCUUGCCUUUGUGUUUGGACUCACCUUAAAUUCAUUGGCAGCCAGUGUAUUGGUUUGAAGCGCAGCACAAUUUUGCGGUUUUGACUGAUUUAUCAUUCGCGUCCAUAAAAGCACAAUUAACACUUUUGACCUCGGGAUCAAGUAGGGGGGAUACCCGGCUGGAACUUAAGGCAUAUCAAUAAGGCGGGAGGGAAGGUCGGACUGGCCAAGGGGCACACAGGGGGGGGGGAUA
Molecule: ribosomal RNA, 650 nt
Filed under: uncultured fungus
Lineage: Eukaryota; Fungi
Description: eukaryotic LSU rRNA
Rfam family: 5.8S ribosomal RNA (bases 227-380)
Source: RNAcentral